AGUGAACGCUGGCGGUAGGCCUAACACAUGCAAGUCGAACGGCAGCACAGUAAGAGCUUGCUCUUACGGGUGGCGAGUGGCGGACGGGUGAGGAAUACAUCGGAAUCUACUUUUUCGUGGGGGAUAACGUAGGGAAACUUACGCUAAUACCGCAUACGACCUACGGGUGAAAGCAGGGGAUCUUCGGACCUUGCGCGAUUCAUGGAGCCGGUGCCGGAUUGGCUAGUUGGCGGGGUAAAGGCCCACCAAGCCGACGAUCCGUAGCUGGUCUGAGAGGAUGAUCAGCCACACUGGAACUGAGACACGGUCCAGACUCCUACGGGAGGCAGCAGUGGGGAAUAUUGGACAAUGGGCGCAAGCCUGAUCCAGCCAUACCGCGUGGGUGAAGAAGGUCUUCGGGUUGUAAAGCCCUUUUGUUGGGAAAGAAAAGCAGCAGGUUAAUACCCCGCUGUUCUGACGGUACCCAAAGAAUAAGCACCGGCUAACUUCGUG
This 492-nucleotide ribosomal RNA is filed under the name uncultured bacterium. Its description in RNAcentral is "partial 16S ribosomal RNA". It matches the Rfam family "Bacterial small subunit ribosomal RNA", at positions 29 to 507 of the family's 1533-position model. The record is from RNAcentral.